This 346-nucleotide ribosomal RNA is filed under the name uncultured bacterium. Its description in RNAcentral is "bacterial SSU rRNA". It matches the Rfam family "Bacterial small subunit ribosomal RNA", at positions 8 to 349 of the family's 1533-position model. The record is from RNAcentral.
AGAGUUUGAUCAUGGCUCAGGAUGAACGCUAGCUACAGGCUUAACACAUGCAAGUCGAGGGGCAGCAUGUUGGUUGCUUGCAACCAAUGAUGGCGACCGGCGCACGGGUGAGUAACGCGUAUCCAACCUACCCUUGUCCAUCGGAUAACCCGUCGAAAGGCGGCCUAACACGAUAUGCGGUUCACAGCAGGCAUCUAAGGUGAACGAAAUGUGAAGGAGAAGGAUGGGGAUGUGUCUGAUUAGCUUGUUGGCGGGGUAACGGCCACCAAGGCGACGAUCAGUAGGGGUUCUGAGAGGAAGGUCCCCCANAUUGGAACUGAGACACGGUCCAAACUCCUAGGGAGCA